This is a long non-coding RNA of Melopsittacus undulatus (budgerigar), 1538 nucleotides long. RefSeq lists it as uncharacterized. The record is from RefSeq and is a predicted model, not a curated record. NCBI's taxonomy places the organism in Eukaryota, Metazoa, Chordata, Aves, Psittaciformes, Psittaculidae. The transcript is spliced from 5 exons.
CUCAUGUCUUGGUUGGCGUUUGGUGGUGUAUAACCGUGAUUGCAUUACCUUAGCAAUAACAAUUGGUCGUCUUGGUUACGUUUGUCCUCAAGAAGUGGCCCCCGUGCUACAGCAGUUUAUAAGACCCUGGUGCACUUCUCUGCGAAACAUAAGAGACAAUGAAGAAAAGGAUUCAGCAUUCCGUGGGAUAUGUACCAUGAUCUCGGUCAAUCCCAGUGGAGUAGUCCAAGACUUUAUUUUUUUUUGUGAUGCUGUUGCAUCAUGGAUUAGCCCAAAAGAUGAUCUCCGAGACAUGUUCUGUAAGAUUCUGCAUGGAUUUAAAAACCAAGUUGGAGAUGAGAAUUGGAGGCGUUUCUCUGACCAGUUUCCUCUUCCCUUAAAAGAGCGCCUUGCAGCUUACUAUGGAGUUUAACCUUAUGUGCUGUAGCUGCAGUCCCAUAAUUAGAGGUCCUUCAGUCUGGGAGACUAUGAGGGAGUCUCUGCACCCAGGGAAAAUGUUACCCUUUACUGGGGGGAAGGGUAAACCAGUAGGGAAUAGAGUACAAUCCCAACCCUACUGGGUGGGGUGGGAGGGAAGUGUUGCCGUCACUGUAUUAAGUCAAUGUUGGGAAAUGUUUUGACAUCUGGAGCCUUUGUGGGUGGAAAUCUUUCUCGUUUUACAACUCUGCACUGGAUGUGAGGAAGAAGGAAAAAAAAACUAUUAACAAAACAGCCCAUUCUGGACUAUUGUGGGGAACUGUACCAAAAUAAGAACCAUAUCAUUGAACCAUAGGGAUACAUAAAGAGGAAAACUAUUUUGCACACAAUAAAAGAAAUCUAAGGAUGGGGGUCACAAACAGUAAAAGGCUUUCUUUUUUCUUUUCUGUUGUUUUUGUUUGUUUGUUUGUUUUAAGUAAGAGUUUUCUACAUUAUUUCAUCUUGCUUGAUGGGAUUCCUAGGUGAUUUGCAUGUUUACGAGUAAGUAAGCAAAUUAAGUUAGUACAGUUAAAAUGCAGAUUGUGUCUGUAUUAGGAGCAGACAUUUGCAGUGUGCAACUUAGAAACCCUGUUGUAAAUUCAUAAUCAUAGAGUCAUAGAAUGGUUAGGGUUGGAAGGGACCUUAAGAUCAUCUAGUUCCAACCCCCCUGCCAUGGGCAAGGACACCUUCCACUAGAUCUUGUCACCCAAGACCCUGUCCAACCUGGCCUUGAACACUGCCAGGGAUUAAUAAAAGUUAACUUGGACAAAAUUAAGCAAUCUGCAAGCUGCCAAAUGAGUUAUUCCUUUCACUUUUGGGGUAAGGGGAGGGACACUUCAAAGGAAAGAUUCACAUAUUAAUUUUUACAUUAAAAAAAAAUCAAGUACCAGAUAUUUGUUUAUUGUACUUAAUUAAUUUAAUUUCUAGUGUAAAGAAUUUUUUCUUAACAUGCAGUUUAGGGUUCAUACAUGUAUUCUGACUCAUAGUAAUUUAAACUAGUGGUAAAGUAGAAUGCUUGCAUCACAUAGAGUGUGUGUGCCAGUCUUGUUUUGCAGUUUACUAAUUCAAUAUAGCCCCACAUU